This 72-nucleotide transfer RNA is filed under the name Medicago truncatula (barrel medic). RNAcentral's name for it is "tRNA-OTHER". Lineage: Eukaryota; Viridiplantae; Streptophyta; Magnoliopsida; Fabales; Fabaceae. The record is from RNAcentral.
GUGAGCAUAGUUCAGUUGGUAGAACAAUGCAUUAUUAUAUGCAGGGGCCGGAGUUCGAACCCCGAACACCCC